RNAcentral lists this ribosomal RNA (835 nucleotides) under Bagnisiella examinans. RNAcentral's name for it is "eukaryotic LSU rRNA". It matches the Rfam family "Eukaryotic large subunit ribosomal RNA", at positions 63 to 918 of the family's 3401-position model. The record is from RNAcentral. Lineage: Eukaryota; Fungi; Ascomycota; Dothideomycetes; Botryosphaeriales; Aplosporellaceae.
AACCCACAGGGAUUGCUCAGUAACGGCGAGUGAAGCGGCACAGCUCAAAUUUGAAAUCUGGCCCUUUCAGGGUCCGAGUUGUAAUUUGUAGAGGAUGCUUCGGCGAGGGCUCCCGUCUAAGUUCCCUGGAACGGGACGUCAUAGAGGGUGAGAAUCCCGUAUGUGAUGGGUUGCUCGAGCCAUGUGAAGCUCCUUCGACGAGUCGAGUUGUUUGGGAAUGCAGCUCUAAAUGGGAGGUAAAUUUCUUCUAAAGCUAAAUACCGGCCAGAGACCGAUAGCGCACAAGUAGAGUGAUCGAAAGAUGAAAAGCACUUUGGAAAGAGAGUUAAAAAGUACGUGAAAUUGUUGAAAGGGAAGCGCUUGCAACCAGACUUGUCCGCAGUUGUUCAGCCGGUCUCCUGACCGGCGUACUCUUCUGCGGCCAGGCCAGCAUCAGUUCGGGCGGCUGGAUAAAGGCCUCGGGAAUGUGGCUCUCUUCGGGGAGUGUUAUAGCCCGGGGCGGAAUGCAGCCAGCCUGGACUGAGGAUCUCGCUUCGGCAAGGAUGCUGGCGUAAUGGUUGUAAGCGGCCCGUCUUGAAACACGGACCAAGGAGUCUAACAUCUAUGCGAGUGUUUGGGUGUCAAACCCAUACGCGUAAUGAAAGUGAACGGAGGUGGGAACCCGCAAGGGCGCACCAUCGACCGAUCCUGAUGUCUUCGGAUGGAUUUGAGUAAGAGCAUAGCUGUUGGGACCCGAAAGAUGGUGAACUAUGCCUGAAUAGGGUGAAGCCAGAGGAAACUCUGGUGGAGGCUCGCAGCGGUUCUGACGUGCAAAUCGAUCGUCAAAUUUGGGUAU